Molecule: ribosomal RNA, 252 nt
Filed under: uncultured bacterium
Lineage: Bacteria
Description: partial 16S ribosomal RNA
Rfam family: Bacterial small subunit ribosomal RNA
Source: RNAcentral
UACGUAGGCAGCAAGCGUUGUUCGAGUUACUGGGCGUAAAGGGUGCGUAGGCGGCUUCUUAAGUCUGGUGUGAAAUCUCCCGGCUCAACUGGGAGGGUGCGCCGGAUACUGAGGGGCUAGAGUGUGGGAGAGGAAAGUGGAAUUCCUGGUGUAGCGGUGAAAUGCGUAGAUAUCAGGAGGAACACCGGUGGUGUAAACGGCUUUCUGGACCAUAACUGACGCUGAGGCACGAAAGCGUGGGUAGCAAACAGG